AAUAGAUACCCACGGUAGUCCACGCCGUAAACGAUGAGUGCUAAGUGUUGGGGGGUUUCCGCCCCUCAGUGCUGCAGCUAACGCAUUAAGCACUCCGCCUGGGGAGUACGGUCGCAAGACUGAAACUCAAAGGAAUUGACGGGGGCCCGCACAAGCGGUGGAGCAUGUGGUUUAAUUCGAAGCAACGCGAAGAACCUUACCAGGUCUUGACAUCCCGGUGACCACUAUGGAGACAUAGUUUCCCCUUCGGGGGCAACGGUGACAGGUGGUGCAUGGUUGUCGUCAGCUCGUGUCGUGAGAUGUUGGGUUAAGUCCCGCAACGAGCGCAACCCUUAUUCUUAGUUGCCAUCAUUCAGUUGGGCACUCUAAGGGGACUGCCGGUGAUAAACCGGAGGAAGGUGGGGAUGACGUCAAAUCAUCAUGCCCCUUAUGACCUGGGCUACACACGUGCUACAAUGGACGGUACAAACGGUUGCCAACCCGCGAGGGGAGCUAAUCCGAUAAAACCGUUCUCAGUUCGGAUUGUAGGCUGCAACUCGCCUACA
RNAcentral lists this ribosomal RNA (545 nucleotides) under uncultured bacterium. RNAcentral describes it as "bacterial SSU rRNA". It matches the Rfam family "Bacterial small subunit ribosomal RNA", at positions 777 to 1320 of the family's 1533-position model. The record is from RNAcentral.